RNAcentral lists this ribosomal RNA (496 nucleotides) under uncultured bacterium. RNAcentral describes it as "partial 16S ribosomal RNA". It matches the Rfam family "Bacterial small subunit ribosomal RNA", at positions 28 to 507 of the family's 1533-position model. The record is from RNAcentral.
GACGAACGCUGGCGGCGUGCCUAAUACAUGCAAGUUGAGCGAUGAGGAUUGGUGCUUGCACCUCUUUGAAGAGCAGCGAACGGGUGAGUAACGCGUGGGGAAUCUGCCUUUGAGCGGGGGACAACAUCUGGAAACGAAUGCUAAUACCGCAUAACAACUUUAAACAUAAGUUUUAAGUUUGAAAGAUGCAAUUGCUUCACUCAAAGAUGAUCCCGCGUUGUAUUAGCUAGUUGGUGAGGUAAAGGCUUACCAAGGCAACGAUACAUAGCCGACCUGAGAGGGUGUCGGCCCCAAUUGGAAUGGGAAACGGCCCAAGCCCCUUCGGGAAGGAAGAAGAGGGAAUUCUCCGGAAUGGGCGAAAGGCUGGCCGAGCAAAGCCGGGGGAGGGGAUGAGGGUUUCGGAUCGUAAAACUCGUUUUAUUGAGAAGAAAGAUAGGUAGAAUGGAAAGCACAUGAAGUGACGGUAACUACCCAGAAAGGCACGGCUAACUACGUG